RNAcentral lists this ribosomal RNA (717 nucleotides) under uncultured Bacteroidales bacterium. Its description in RNAcentral is "bacterial SSU rRNA". It matches the Rfam family "Bacterial small subunit ribosomal RNA", at positions 66 to 774 of the family's 1533-position model. Lineage: Bacteria; Pseudomonadati; Bacteroidota; Bacteroidia; Bacteroidales. The record is from RNAcentral.
CAGCAUGGUCUUAGCUUGCUAAGGCUGAUGGCGACCGGCGCACGGGUGAGUAACACGUAUCCAACCUGCCGUCUACUCUUGGCCAGCCUUCUGAAAGGAAGAUUAAUCCAGGAUGGGAUCAUGAGUUCACAUGUCCGCAUGAUUAAAGGUAUUUUCCGGUAGACGAUGGGGAUGCGUUCCAUUAGAUAGUAGGCGGGGUAACGGCCCACCUAGUCAACGAUGGAUAGGGGUUCUGAGAGGAAGGUCCCCCACAUUGGAACUGAGACACGGUCCAAACUCCUACGGGAGGCAGCAGUGAGGAAUAUUGGUCAAUGGGCGAUGGCCUGAACCAGCCAAGUAGCGUGAAGGAUGACUGCCCUAUGGGUUGUAAACUUCUUUUAUAAAGGAAUAAAGUCGGGUAUGCAUACCCGUUUGCAUGUACUUUAUGAAUAAGGAUCGGCUAACUCCGUGCCAGCAGCCGCGGUAAUACGGAGGAUCCGAGCGUUAUCCGGAUUUAUUGGGUUUAAAGGGAGCGUAGAUGGAUGUUUAAGUCAGUUGUGAAAGUUUGCGGCUCAACCGUAAAAUUGCAGUUGAUACUGGAUGUCUUGAGUGCAGUUGAGGCAGGCGGAAUUCGUGGUGUAGCGGUGAAAUGCUUAGAUAUCACGAAGAACUCCGAUUGCGAAGGCAGCCUGCUAAGCUGCAACUGACAUUGAGGCUCGAAAGUGUGGGUAUCAAACA